RNAcentral lists this ribosomal RNA (253 nucleotides) under uncultured bacterium. RNAcentral's name for it is "partial 16S ribosomal RNA". It matches the Rfam family "Bacterial small subunit ribosomal RNA", at positions 524 to 776 of the family's 1533-position model. The record is from RNAcentral.
CACGUAGGGCGCAAGCGUUGUCCGGAAUUAUUGGGCGUAAAGAGCUCGUAGGCGGUCUGUCACGUCGGCUGUGAAAACCCGAGGCUCAACCUCGGGCCUGCAGUCGAUACGGGCAAACUAGAGUGUUGCAGGGGAGACUGGAAUUCCUGGUGUAGCGGUGAAAUGCGCAGAUAUCGGGAGGAACACCAGUGGCGAAGGCGGCGAUCUGGGAAGAUACUGACGCUGAGGUGCGAAAGCGUGGGGAGCAAACAGG